This 496-nucleotide ribosomal RNA is filed under the name uncultured bacterium. RNAcentral describes it as "partial 16S ribosomal RNA". It matches the Rfam family "Bacterial small subunit ribosomal RNA", at positions 28 to 506 of the family's 1533-position model. The record is from RNAcentral.
GAUGAACGCUGGCGGCGUGCCUAAUACAUGCAAGUCGAGCGAACAGACGAGGAGCUUGCUCCUCUGACGUUAGCGGCGGACGGGUGAGUAACACGUGGAUAACCUACCUAUAAGACUGGGAUAACUUCGGGAAACCGGAGCUAAUACCGGAUAAUAUAUUGAACCGCAUGGUUCAAUAGUGAAAGACGGUUUUGCUGUCACUUAUAGAUGGAUCCGCGCCGCAUUAGCUAGUUGGUAAGGUAACGGCUUACCAAGGCAACGAUGCGUAGCCGACCUGGGAGGGGGAUCGGCCAACCUGGAACUGAGACACGGGCCAGACUCCUAGGGGAGGCAGCAGUAGGGAAUCUUCCGCAAUGGGCGAAAGCUUGACGGAGCAACGCCGCGGGAGUGAUGAAGGUUUUCGGAUCGAAAAACUCUGUUAUUGGGGAAGAAAAAAUGUGAAAGAAACUAUGCAGGUUUUGACGGUACCUAACCAGAAAGCCACGGCAAACUACGU